GAUGAACGCUAGCGGCAGGCCUAACACAUGCAAGUCGAGGGGCGAGCGGGAUUGAAGCUUGCUUCAAUCGCCGGCGACCGGCGCACGGGUGCGUAACGCGUAUGCAACCCACCCAGAACAGGGGGAUAACACUGAGAAAUUGGUACUAAUACCCGUAAUAUUACGAAGGGCAUCCUUUGUAGUUGAAAGUUCCGGCGGUUACAGAUGGGCAUGCGUUGUAUUAGAUAGUUGGUGAGGUAACGGCUCACCAAGUCGACGAUACAUAGGGGGACUGAGAGGUUAACCCCCACAUUGGUACUGAGACACGGACCAAACUCCUACGGGAGG
RNAcentral lists this ribosomal RNA (327 nucleotides) under uncultured bacterium. RNAcentral's name for it is "bacterial SSU rRNA". It matches the Rfam family "Bacterial small subunit ribosomal RNA", at positions 28 to 348 of the family's 1533-position model. The record is from RNAcentral.